Long non-coding RNA from Daucus carota subsp. sativus, 2522 nucleotides. RefSeq lists it as uncharacterized. Lineage: Eukaryota; Viridiplantae; Streptophyta; Magnoliopsida; Apiales; Apiaceae. The record is from RefSeq and is a predicted model, not a curated record. The transcript is spliced from 12 exons.
AGCUGGUAAUCAAUUAUACAAUUCUAUCUUCGCAUCAUUCGAUUCUUGUUUUUAGAUAUAAGCAAAGAAUGUUCUUUUUGACUUUAAGAUAUUCGAAUUUUCGCUAGCGCCUCUUGUCGAUCAUUUGGCGGAGAUGAAUGGUUCUCCACCUGUUCGAUGUGUAGUUGUUCCACUUUAUCAAGCUUCUUAAAUAAUGAAGAAAAUGCUCCAGUAAAUAUCGAGAUUCGAGCCGUAAUGACUCCUUUUAAGAUGAGUUCCUACGGUCAGGUGGACCAUGCUCCUCAGAGUAUUCUCCCUGGUUGUUCAGAGGGUGGAAGAAAUCUCAGAGGGUUGCCCUUGCUCCUGUUCUUGUUUGUAUUUAUAGAGAUAUGAGGGUGUUACAUAAUGCAAUGGUUAAGCCUGUCGAAUUAGGGUCUGGAAUUGGUCUGAAGUUCACUAUAUGGCACUACGACUUAGUGCAGAUGUGGGUUUGGGAGAGGUUUGUGGAAUUGAGGCCAAAGCCAAAUGUCAUAGAACGGGGAGACCCUAGAUCAGCACGGUGGAAUGGAGUCACAAAGUUGUAAGUUUCACGAUUUGUGAAGCUUUUUGAAGCUUUUAGACAUCUAAAGCGAUGAGUUCCUACAGGCUACAGUCAAGUGGAUCAUGCUCCUCAGAGUAUUCUUCUUGGCUGUUGAGAUGGUGGAAAAUCUCAAAGGUGCAAUGGUGGAGUCAAACUAUUUGGCUCGUUUGUAGCUGAACUAUUCACGAAAUGGUGAGAUUUGGAUAUAUCCAUAGAGAUACAUGUUUUCAUAUCUCAAGCACAGCAAGAAAGCAGAAGGAAAGUUUGCUUGCAGAUUUACUAGGAGCUCUUAGAAGGAAAGGUAAUCUUUUUUCAAGAUAUGGAACUCCAUGCAUAUUGUGAAAUUGUUGCUGUCCUUGUGAUAUCUCACAUUAUGUAGUAAAACAAUCAAUUUAUCAAAUUCCAAAUACUCGUUCUCCGCAUCAUCCUAUACUUUUUUCUUAAGUUGAGGAUCUUUUUGAGAAGCCUGUUAAACCUGCAAGGGCUGUUGCCAACAACCAUCUGACAAGAAUGGUUGAUGCAUUUCGAGCUUAACAUAAUAUGCUUCCAUCAAAUUAUCAUAAUCAGGCUACUGUCUCCCCACACUAAUUAGACAAGAUCGACUGUCAUCUGCAAAACGGUCACCGGACAGAAAGAAACAUGGAAAAAACCGGUGGCGUCCACAGAAAAAAGACAUUUGAUCGAGACGAUAUUGUGAAUGUGGCAAUCCCGAUAGACUGAUCAAUUCAUGGAAUACUACUUGUAGUUAAAUAAUGAAGAAAAUGCUCCGUCAAAGAUGAGGCGUAAUGACUCUUUUUAAGAGGAUCUCGAUUAAUUACUUACCCCAAUUGGCAGCACAAGGAAUACUAGUACAACAACGUUGGAGUUUGACCAACUCCAGAGUUUUGACUACGAUGAUACCAUCAGUCUCCUAUGCCCCGUCUCUUCAGUUGGUUCUCUUGAAUUAGGGGUGGCCUGGUAAUUUUGAUAUCUUCAGCCGUGUCAUUUCUAGUAUGCAAAUGAGUUCUCUGGUAAAACCUACGUUGCGGGAUACUCUUUCGCUCCUUGGACCUGAGAGGGAGGAUGAGCAAGUGAGGCAACAUAUCAUUGAAGACUUGUGAGAUGUUUUUUGGACCGUGGAAAGUCUUAGAGGUGCCAUGGUGGAACCAUUUGGCUCUUAUGUAUCUAAGCAUUUGACCAGAACAUAUCUAUAGAGAUACAUAGAGGUCGCAUAUUUUAAACAUUUGGAGAAACCAGAAGGAAAAUUUACCAGAAACUGUACUAGAAGCUCUCAGAAGUGAGGGUAACCUGCCUCCUUUUUAGUAAUCUGCUUGACAAUUGACAUAUAGGUUUGAGAACUGCAGCUGUUGAACACUGAAUAGUACUUUCUUUUUUUUAAGUUCUCUGAUCUGCUCGUUUCAUUCUUUGCAAAGUUUUCUGACAUUGAUGUGAGGGCCUCAGAAGAAGGUGUCAGUUCUUACUCUGGAGUCUGGACAGUACGAAGAUAUUGGGAGAAACAUGGCAUGGCUGCCGCAGACAUUAGCACUCUAUGUAAUCACACACACACACACACACCGAUACCCUUGUGCUAGCAUGUGUCGCAUUGAUGGAGACCCUGUACAACCUUCAGAUAAAAACACUGGAGGAAACUAUGACGGGAGUCGUCCACAGGUCAACAGAGAAGCAUCAACACCAUCACAGUCGCAUCUAACUUAAAAAUGUAAUGAAUGAUAAACGUUCUAACAAUGCUAGUGUCUGACAGACCAGUGCAGCCAAUUCAAGCACAACAGAUCUGGAGGGCAAAACCCCAGAACUAAAUGCCAGAAAGUAUCACCCCUGCCCCCAAGUUUCUUCUUAUUGUACACUGAUUAUUGAUAACAAAUCAUUUUUGAGAAUGGUUGGUUCUAUGAAUGUAACCGUUGAACCAUUACAUUUAAAGUCUGGUAAUCUUUUGAUUAAUUGUGUAUUUUUUGUGAUUUUAUGA